GACGUAGGGCGCGAGCGUUGUCCGGAUUUAUUGGGCGUAAAGAGCUCGUAGGCGGCUUGUCGCGUCGACUGUGAAAUCCCGCGGCUCAACUGCGGGUCUGCAGUCGAUACGGGCAGGCUAGAGUUCGGUAGGGGAGACUGGAAUUCCUGGUGUAGCGGUGAAAUGCGCAGAUAUCAGGAGGAACACCGGUGGCGAAGGCGGGUCUCUGGGCCGAUACUGACACUGAGAGACGAAAGCUAGGGGAGCGAAUGGG
This 253-nucleotide ribosomal RNA is filed under the name uncultured bacterium. Its description in RNAcentral is "partial 16S ribosomal RNA". It matches the Rfam family "Bacterial small subunit ribosomal RNA", at positions 524 to 776 of the family's 1533-position model. The record is from RNAcentral.